Molecule: ribosomal RNA, 1346 nt
Filed under: uncultured bacterium
Lineage: Bacteria
Description: partial 16S ribosomal RNA
Rfam family: Bacterial small subunit ribosomal RNA
Source: RNAcentral
GACGAACGCUGUCGGCGUGCUUAACACAUGCAAGUCGAACGGAAAGGCCCUGCUUUUGUGGGGUGCUCGAGUGGCGAACGGGUGAGUAACACGUGAGUAACCUGCCCUUGACUUUGGGAUAACUUCAGGAAACUGGGGCUAAUACCGGAUAGGAGCUCCUGCUGCAUGGUGGGGGUUGGAAAGUUUCGGCGGUUGGGGAUGGACUCGCGGCUUAUCAGCUUGUUGGUGGGGUAGUGGCUUACCAAGGCUUUGACGGGUAGCCGGCCUGAGAGGGUGACCGGCCACAUUGGGACUGAGAUACGGCCCAGACUCCUACGGGAGGCAGCAGUGGGGAAUAUUGCACAAUGGGCGGAAGCCUGAUGCAGCAACGCCGCGUGCGGGAUGACGGCCUUCGGGUUGUAAACCGCUUUCGCCUGUGACGAAGCGUGAGUGACGGUAAUGGGUAAAGAAGCACCGGCUAACUACGUGCCAGCAGCCGCGGUGAUACGUAGGGUGCGAGCGUUGUCCGGAUUUAUUGGGCGUAAAGGGCUCGUAGGUGGUUGAUCGCGUCGGAAGUGUAAUCUUGGGGCUUAACCCUGAGCGUGCUUUCGAUACGGGUUGACUUGAGGAAGGUAGGGGAGAAUGGAAUUCCUGGUGGAGCGGUGGAAUGCGCAGAUAUCAGGAGGAACACCAGUGGCGAAGGCGGUUCUCUGGGCCUUUCCUGACGCUGAGGAGCGAAAGCGUGGGGAGCGAACAGGCUUAGAUACCCUGGUAGUCCACGCUGUAAACGGUGGGUACUAGGUGUGGGGUCCAUUCCACGGGUUCCGUGCCGUAGCUAACGCUUUAAGUACCCCGCCUGGGGAGUACGGCCGCAAGGCUAAAACUCAAAGGAAUUGACGGGGCCCCGCACAAGCGGCGGAGCAUGCGGAUUAAUUCGAUGCAACGCGUAGAACCUUACCUGGGUUUGACAUGGAUCGGGAGUGCUCAGAGAUGGGUGUGCCUCUUUUGGGGUCGGUUCACAGGUGGUGCAUGCCUGUCGUCAGCUCGUGUCGUGAGAUGUUGGGUUAAGUCCCGCAACGAGCGCAACCCUUGUUCACUGUUGCCAGCACGUUAUGGUGGGGACUCAGUGGAGACCGCCGGGGUCGACUCGGAGGAAGGUGGGGAUGACGUCAAGUCAUCAUGCCCCUUAUGUCCAGGGCUUCACGCAUGCUACAAUGGCUGGUACAGAGAGUGGCGAGCCUGUGAGGGUGAGCGAAUCUCGGAAAGCCGGUCUCAGUUCGGAUUGGGGUCUGCAACUCGACCUCAUGAAGUCGGAGUCGCUAGUAGUCGCAGAUCAGCAACGCUGCGGUGAAUACGUUCCCGGGGCU